CUACGGGCGGCUGCAGUGAGGAAUAUUGCACAAUGGGGGGAACCCUGAUGCAGCAACGCCGCGUGGAGGAUGACGCAUUUCGGUGUGUAAACUCCUUUUAUAUGUCAAGAAAAUGUCGGUAGCAUAUGAAUAAGCACCGGCUAACUCCGUGCCAGCAGCCGCGGUAAUACGGAGGGCGCAAGCGUUACUCGGAAUCACUGGGCGUAAAGGACGCGUAGGCGGGUUGAAAAGUCAGGUGUGAAAGCCUACAGCUUAACUGUAGAACUGCACUUGAAACUCUCAAUCUAGAGUAUGGGAGGGGCAGAUGGAAUUAGUGGUGUAGGGGUAAAAUCCGUAGAUAUCACUAGGAAUACCUAAAGCGAAGGCGAUCUGCUGGAACAUUACUGACGCUAAGGCGUGAAAGCGUGGGGAGCAAACAGGAUUAGAUACCCUAGUAGUC
This 439-nucleotide ribosomal RNA is filed under the name uncultured bacterium. Its description in RNAcentral is "partial 16S ribosomal RNA". It matches the Rfam family "Bacterial small subunit ribosomal RNA", at positions 339 to 795 of the family's 1533-position model. The record is from RNAcentral.